RNAcentral lists this unclassified non-coding RNA (306 nucleotides) under plant metagenome. Its description in RNAcentral is "partial contains 5.8S ribosomal RNA, internal transcribed spacer 2, and large subunit ribosomal RNA". The stretch from base 1 to 105 matches the Rfam family "5.8S ribosomal RNA", at positions 50 to 154 of the family's 154-position model. The record is from RNAcentral.
GAAAUGCGAUAAGUAAUGUGAAUUGCAGAAUUCAGUGAAUCAUCGAAUCUUUGAACGCACAUUGCGCCCGCCAGUAUUCUGGCGGGCAUGCCUGUCCGAGCGUCAUUUCAUCCAUCAAGCCCCCGGGCUUGUGUUGGGGACCUGCGGCUGCCCGCAGGCCCUGAAAACCAGUGGCGGGCUCGCUGUCACACCGAGCGUAGUAGCAAUCACCUCGCUCAGGGCGUGCUGCGGGUUCCGGCCGUUAAACAGCCUUACAAAACCCAAGGUUGACCUCGGAUCAGGUAGGAAGACCCGCUGAACUUAAGC